AACACCUUCGGGUGUGAAUUAGCGGCGAACGGGUGAGGAACACGUGAAGAAUCUGCCUUCAACUCUGGGAUAACUCCGGGAAACCGGGGCUAAUACCGGAUAUGAGCCUUGAUCGCAUGAUCGGGGCUGGAAAGUUUUUCGGUUGAAGAUGACUUCGCGGCCUAUCAGCUUGUUGGUGAGGUAAUGGCUCACCAAGGCGACGACGGGUAGCCGGCCUGAGAGGGCGACCGGCCACACUGGGACUGAGACACGGCCCAGACUCCUACGGGAGGCAGCAGUGGGGAAUAUUGGGCAAUGGAGGAAACUCUGACCCAGCGACGCCGCGUGAGGGAUGAAGGCCUUCGGGUUGUAAACCUCUUUCAGUAGGGAAGAAGGGAAAGUGACGGUACCUACAGAAGAAGCACCGGCUAACUAUGUGCCAGCAGCCGCGGUAAUACAUAGGGUGCAAGCGUUGUCCGGAAUUAUUGGGCGUAAAGAGCUCGUAGGUGGUUCGAUACGUCGGAUGUGAAAAUCAGGGGCUCAACCCCUGACCUGCAUCCGAUACGGUCGAGCUAGAGUUUGGUAGGGGAGACUGGAAUUCCUGGUGUAGCGGUGGAAUGCGCAGAUAUCAGGAGGAACACCGAUGGCGAAGGCAGGUCUCUGGGCCAAUACUGACACUGAGGAGCGAAAGCGUGGGGAGCGAACAGGAUUAGAUACCCUGGUAGUCCACGCCGUAAACGGUGGGCGCUAGUUGUGCGAACCUUCCACGGUUUGUGCGACGCAGCUAACGCAUUAAGCGCCCCGCCUGGGGAGUACGAUCGCAAGAUU
This 807-nucleotide ribosomal RNA is filed under the name uncultured bacterium. RNAcentral's name for it is "bacterial SSU rRNA". It matches the Rfam family "Bacterial small subunit ribosomal RNA", at positions 73 to 895 of the family's 1533-position model. The record is from RNAcentral.